UAGGGAAUCUUCCGCAAUGGGCGAAAGCCUGACGGAGCAACGCCGCGUGAGUGAUGAAGGUCUUCGGAUCGUAAAACUCUGUUAUCAGGGAAGAACAAAUGUGUAAGUAACUGUGCACAUCUUGACGGUACCUGAUCAGAAAGCCACGGCUAAUUACGUGCCAGCAGCCGCGGUAAUACGUAGGUGGCAAGCGUUAUCCGGAAUUAUUGGGCGUAAAGCGCGCGUAGGCGGUUUUUUAAGUCUGAUGUGAAAGCCCACGGCUCAACCGUGGAGGGUCAUUGGAAACUGGAAAACUUGAGUGCAGAAGAGGAAAGUGGAAUUCCAUGUGUAGCGGUGAAAUGCGUAGAUAUAUGGAGGAACACCGGUGGCGAAAGCGGCUCUCUGGUCUGUAACUGACGCUGAGGCUCGAAAGCGUGGGGAGCGAACAGG
This 429-nucleotide ribosomal RNA is filed under the name Bacteroidota bacterium. Its description in RNAcentral is "Bacteroidetes bacterium partial 16S ribosomal RNA". It matches the Rfam family "Bacterial small subunit ribosomal RNA", at positions 355 to 776 of the family's 1533-position model. Lineage: Bacteria; Pseudomonadati; Bacteroidota. The record is from RNAcentral.